RNAcentral lists this ribosomal RNA (483 nucleotides) under uncultured bacterium. RNAcentral describes it as "partial 16S ribosomal RNA". It matches the Rfam family "Bacterial small subunit ribosomal RNA", at positions 28 to 507 of the family's 1533-position model. The record is from RNAcentral.
GACGAACGCUGGCGGCGUGCUUAACACAUGCAAGUCGAACGCUGAAGCUCAGCUUUUGUUGGGUGGAUGAGUGGCGAACGGGUGAGUAACACGUGAGUAACCUGCCCCCUUCUUUGGGAUAACGCCCGGAAACGGGUGCUAAUACUGGAUAUUCACUGGUCUUCGCAUGGGGGUUGGUGGAAAGGGUUUUUCUGGUGGGGGAUGGGCUCGCGGCCUAUCAGCUUGUUGGUGGGGUGAUGGCCUACCAAGGCUUUGACGGGUAGCCGGCCUGAGAGGGUGACCGGUCACAUUGGGACUGAGAUCCGGCCCAGACUCCGACGGGGGGCAGCAGUGGGGAAUAUUGCACAAUGGGCGCAAGCCUGAUGCAGCGACGCCGCGUGAGGGAUGGAGGCCUUCGUGUUGUGAACCUCUUUCGCUAAUGGUCAAGCCGCAACAAUGGUUGUGGUGAGGGUAGUGGGUAAAGAAGCGCCGGCUAACUACGUG